Molecule: long non-coding RNA, 723 nt
Organism: Pocillopora damicornis (cauliflower coral)
Lineage: Eukaryota; Metazoa; Cnidaria; Anthozoa; Scleractinia; Pocilloporidae
Source: RefSeq, a predicted model, not a curated record
CUCUCUAUCACCCGUUUUGCCCUCUCUCAAUUGUAAAUCUCUCAGUCGUGUGAAUUUUCGUAUUUCCCCCCCUUGAAGUGCAGCUAGCUUUUCCGGCCUUAAGCCAUAAACCAUUAAAAUGACUGUGAUAGAGAGUUUAUUUUUAUACCUGAGGUUUGAUGAGGACCGGGCAUAGGUUCUUCCUGAGGAUAGAAAUAGUAGUAAUAGCCUGCAGGAUAUUCAGCCGCUGAAGGAUGAAUGCUAUCAACUCUGAUGCUCAGAUUGGUUACCAAUUAUGUCCCUCCAAAGAGCUAGGCCCAUUUGCUGAAGGGACAGAUAACGUUAUCCAACGGACAAAAAACUACCCAGUGGAUGAGUGUUAUCAAAACCUUCUGCGCUAUUCACUAUGGAUAGAGACUAAUCCUGUGGAUAUAGUGUUAUUCAAACUUCGAACAACCGAUGCCUGAACCAGAAGCGUGAUAUUCGAAAUAAGCAGAAGCCCAGUCGGUGCUAGACUCUGAAUCCAUACCUUGAAUCGCAUCAGAUUCCCUCUGGUUGAAGGAUUUAGAUUCAAAGUGCUGAGUUUCACCGGAAGUCAUUUCGGUCUGAGCCCAAUUGUCAUCGGAAGGAGAAAUCAGAAAGUUGACGUCAAGCAAAGAUAUUAAAUCUCGCCUACCGAGCCCCAGUUGGUAUCAGAUUCAGGGUUCAAGGUUAAUUCCAUGUUUUGAGUUUUAGUAAAGUAAA